RNAcentral lists this ribosomal RNA (495 nucleotides) under Alternaria alternata. RNAcentral's name for it is "eukaryotic LSU rRNA". The stretch from base 154 to 307 matches the Rfam family "5.8S ribosomal RNA". The record is from RNAcentral. Lineage: Eukaryota; Fungi; Ascomycota; Dothideomycetes; Pleosporales; Pleosporaceae.
GGCGGGCUGGAAUCUCUCGGGGUUACAGCCUUGCUGAAUUAUUCACCCUUGUCUUUUGCGUACUUCUUGUUUCCUUGGUGGGUUCGCCCACCACUAGGACAAACAUAAACCUUUUGUAAUUGCAAUCAGCGUCAGUAACAAAUUAAUAAUUACAACUUUCAACAACGGAUCUCUUGGUUCUGGCAUCGAUGAAGAACGCAGCGAAAUGCGAUAAGUAGUGUGAAUUGCAGAAUUCAGUGAAUCAUCGAAUCUUUGAACGCACAUUGCGCCCUUUGGUAUUCCAAAGGGCAUGCCUGUUCGAGCGUCAUUUGUACCCUCAAGCUUUGCUUGGUGUUGGGCGUCUUGUCUCUAGCUUUGCUGGAGACUCGCCUUAAAGUAAUUGGCAGCCGGCCUACUGGUUUCGGAGCGCAGCUCUUUUCGCACUCUCUAUCAGCAAAGGUCUAGUUUCCAUUAAGCCUUUUUUUCACUUCUGACCUCGGAUUAGGUAGGGAUACC